UGUCUUAAAAAUAAAUUGCAUGAGCAUGAGGAAGUGAAGCUCAACGUGAGUACUUAGUCC
Molecule: small nucleolar RNA, 60 nt
Filed under: Tursiops truncatus (common bottlenose dolphin)
Lineage: Eukaryota; Metazoa; Chordata; Mammalia; Artiodactyla; Delphinidae
Description: Small Nucleolar RNA SNORD64 (ENSTTRG00000024535.1)
Source: RNAcentral